Molecule: ribosomal RNA, 963 nt
Filed under: Peniophorella guttulifera
Lineage: Eukaryota; Fungi; Basidiomycota; Agaricomycetes; Hymenochaetales
Description: eukaryotic LSU rRNA
Rfam family: Eukaryotic large subunit ribosomal RNA
Source: RNAcentral
UUUGACCUCAAAUCAGGUAGGACUACCCGCUGAACUUAAGCAUAUCAAUAAGCGGAGGAAAAGAAACUAACAAGGAUUCCCCUAGUAACUGCGAGUGAAGCGGGAUGAGCUCAAAUUUAAAAUCUGGCGGUUCUGCCGUCCGAGUUGUAAUCUGGAGAAGCGUUUUCUGUGCUGGACCGUAUAUAAGUUCCUUGGAAUAGGACGUCAUAGAGGGUGAGAAUCCCGUCUUUGGUACGGACUACCAGUACUCUGUGAUACGCUCUCAAAGAGUCGAGUUGUUUGGGAAUGCAGCUCAAAAUGGGUGGUAAAUUCCAUCUAAAGCUAAAUAUAGGCGAGAGACCGAUAGCGAACAAGUACCGUGAGGGAAAGAUGAAAAGCACUUUGGAAAGAGAGUUAAACAGUACGUGAAAUUGUUGAAAGGGAAACGCUUGAAGUCAGUCGCGUUGUCCAGGACUCAGCCUUGGUUUUCCUUGGUGUACUUCCUGGUUGACGGGUCAACAUCAAUUUUGACCGGUGGACAAAGGCUUGGGGAAUGUGGCACCUUCGGGUGUGUUAUAGCCCCUUGUCAUAUACAUUGGUUGGGAUUGAGGACCGCAGCACGCCCUUGUGGCCGGGGUUCGCCCACGUAACGUGCUUAGGAUGUUGGCAUAAUGGCUUUAAGCGACCNGUCUUGAAACACGGACCAAGGAGUCUAACAUGCCUGCGAGUGUUAGGGUGGUAAACCCUUGCGCGUAAUGAAAGUGAAAGUUGGGACCUCUUGCGAGGGCACCGACGCCCGGCCCUGAACUCUUGUGACGGUGCUGCGGUAGAGCAUGUAUGUUGGGACCCGAAAGAUGGUGAACUAUGCCUGAAUAGGGCGAAGCCAGAGGAAACUCUGGUGGAGGCUCGUAGCGAUUCUGACGUGCAAAUCGAUCGUCAAAUUUGGGUAUAGGGGCGAAAGACUAAUCGAACCAUCUAGUAGCU